AUUGAACGCUGGCGGCAUGCCUUACACAUGCAAGUCGAACGGCAGCAUGAUCUAGCUUGCUCGAUUGAUGGCGAGUGGCGCACGGGUGAGUAAUACAUCGGAACGUGCCCUGUAGUGGGGGAUAACUAGUCGAAAGAUUAGCUAAUACCGCAUACGACCUGAGGGUGAAAGUGGGGGACCGCAAGGCCUCAUGCUAUAGGAGCGGCCGAUGUCUGAUUAGCUAGUUGGUGAGGUAAAGGCUCACCAAGGCGACGAUCAGUAGCUGGUCUGAGAGGACGAUCAGCCACACUGGGACUGAGACACGGCCCAGACUCCUACGGGAGGCAGCAGUGGGGAAUUUUGGACAAUGGGCGAAAGCCUGAUCUAGCAAUGCCGCGUGUGUGAAGAAGGCCUUCGGGUUGUAAAGCACUUUUGUCCGGAAAGAAAUGGCUCUGGUUAAUACCUGGGGUCGAUGACGGUACCGGAAGAAUAAGGACCGGCUAACUACGUG
This 490-nucleotide ribosomal RNA is filed under the name uncultured bacterium. RNAcentral describes it as "partial 16S ribosomal RNA". It matches the Rfam family "Bacterial small subunit ribosomal RNA", at positions 30 to 507 of the family's 1533-position model. The record is from RNAcentral.